This 506-nucleotide ribosomal RNA is filed under the name uncultured bacterium. RNAcentral's name for it is "partial 16S ribosomal RNA". It matches the Rfam family "Bacterial small subunit ribosomal RNA", at positions 28 to 522 of the family's 1533-position model. The record is from RNAcentral.
GACGAACGCUGGCGGCGUGCCUAACACAUGCAAGUCGAACGGAAAACAUAGCAAUAUGUUUUUAGUGGCGAACGGGUGAGUAACGCGUAGACAACCAACCUUUUUGUGGGGGACAACACUUCGAAAGGAGUGCUAAUACCGCAUACGCUCCAGAUGCCGCCUGGUGUUCGGAGGAAAGGAGCUUUACGGCUUCGCAAAAAGACGGGGCUGCGUCUGAUUAGCUAGUUGGAGGGGUAACGGCCCACCAAGGCGACGAUCAGUAGCCGGUCUGAGAGGAUGGACGGCCACACUGGGACUGAGACACGGCCCAGACUCCUACGGGAGGCAGCAGUGGGGAAUCUUCCGCAAUGGACGAAAGUCUGACGGAGCGACGCCGCGUGAGUGAUGAAGGCCCUUGGGUCGUAAAGCUCUGUCAUCAGGGACGAACGGUCACGUCAGGAAAUGGGCGUGAACUGACGGUACCUGAGAAGGAAGCCACGGCUAACUACGUGCCAGCCGCCGCCGUA